UGUUCUUCAAAGAAUGCCCCUUCCCCUUG
This 29-nucleotide non-coding RNA is filed under the name Mus musculus (house mouse). The record is from RNAcentral. Lineage: Eukaryota; Metazoa; Chordata; Mammalia; Rodentia; Muridae.